UUAUAGAGUAACUUCACACUAAAUCCACAGUUUUAUACCAUCAAAUCCUUCAUCCAGGAGAAAAAAAAUCAAGUAAUGCUGCUGUGUAGAUCCAAAAAAGGAAAUGAGGAAAAAAGGAAAAAAAAGAAAGCCUAUCCAAACUUCAAAGCAACAUCAUGUUCAAACUCUCCUCACGUGUUUAUUAUUGUGUUUGGGUUUAAGUUUACAUCCCCU
Long non-coding RNA from Scomber scombrus (Atlantic mackerel), 213 nucleotides. RefSeq lists it as uncharacterized. The record is from RefSeq and is a predicted model, not a curated record. The transcript has 3 exons. Lineage: Eukaryota; Metazoa; Chordata; Actinopteri; Scombriformes; Scombridae.